RNAcentral lists this transfer RNA (75 nucleotides) under Opitutales bacterium. RNAcentral's name for it is "tRNA-Arg". It matches the Rfam family "tRNA". Rfam says of the family: Transfer RNA (tRNA) molecules are approximately 80 nucleotides in length. Lineage: Bacteria; Pseudomonadati; Verrucomicrobiota; Opitutia; Opitutales. The record is from RNAcentral.
GCUCUCGUAUUUCAAUGGAUAGAAUGCUGGCCUCCGAAGCCGGCGAUUUGGGUUCGACUCCCAACGGGGGCACCA